RNAcentral lists this ribosomal RNA (460 nucleotides) under uncultured bacterium. RNAcentral describes it as "partial 16S ribosomal RNA". It matches the Rfam family "Bacterial small subunit ribosomal RNA", at positions 338 to 795 of the family's 1533-position model. The record is from RNAcentral.
CCUACGGGGGGCAGCAGUGAGGAAUAUUGGGCAAUGGACGAGAGUCUGAACCAGCCAAGUAGCGUGAAGGAUGACUGCCCUAGGGGUUGUAAACUUCUUUUAUAUGGGAAUAAAAUGUUACACGUGUGGGAUUUUGUAUGUACUAUAUGAAUAAGGAUCGGCUAACUCCGUGCCAGCAGCCGCGGUAAUACGGAGGAUCUGAGCGUUAUCCGGAUUUAUUGGGUUUAAAGGGAGCGUAGGUGGAUUGUUAAGUCAGUUGUGAAAGUUUGCGGCUCAACCGUAAAAUUGCAGUUGAAACUGGCAGUCUUGAGUACAGUAGAGGUGGGCGGAAUUCGUGGUGUAGCGGUGAAAUGCUUAGAUAUCACGAAGAACUCCGAUUGCGAAGGCAGUUCACUGGACUGCAACUGACACUGAGGCUCGAAAGUGUGGGUAUCAAACAGGAUUAGAUACCCCAGUAGUC